UGAGAAGGACUAAAGCACAAGAAUAAAGGAGGACAUGGACAGCUGAAGCAAAAUCUAGGGGCAGGAGCAAGAGAGACAUCUGUGCUACAUUACAAUCUGCUAAUCCUCUAUGAGUCCUCCCUUGAUCUCAGCUCUCCUUCCUAGAGUCAAUGCAGCAAGGGUACCCCUUACCCUCCACUGAGGUCUACCAGGAACCCCUAAAAGGACAGAGGGCAGUGAACAUGGGGUCUCUGCCUGAAGUGACCAGGCAAAUAAAAUGACAGGAGAGAAUUCUGGCUAAGUGCCCUGUGUCUGGAGGCUGGAUGCCUGGAUUCAAACGUGAAUUCACUCCUAUUUUACCCCAUGACCUAAUACAAGUUAUAUUUAAAUGCUGUGCUCCCUUAUUCAUCUGUGAAGUGACAAUACUGUUCAUUCCUCUUUCUUGGUGGUGAUUACGCAGUUGAAAUGAAACAAGCUACAUGGAACACUUAGAGCCUGGAACCUAGGAAAUCCUCAAUGAAGAAUCAUGAUACCAUGUUUACUGUCUUAUCCUCAUCCACGUCCUCACUUCAUGAUUUUGGAGUACUUAGGGGACAGUUUAGAGAGAACUGCUUCCUGCUAUCGUGGGGGUAAUGCCCAUGGGAACUAGAACUAAUGUGGGAGGAAAGCAGAACUCUGAAUGAGAGCUCUUGGACCCCACCAGAACAGAUGGCUACCUCUCCUUGUAACACAAUAAAAUGGUGAUAGAAUGGCGACAUCCAAAAAAAUUUUAAAAUGGGCAGAAAACCUGAAUAGACUUUAUUUUAAAGGCAAUAUGAAGAUGGCCAACAGACACAUGGAAAGAUGCUCAACAUCACUAAUCAUCAGGGAGAAGCAAAUCAAAACCUCUUGUCAGAAUGGCUAUUAUCAAAAAGAUAAGAGAAAUAAAUGGUGAUGAGGAUGUGAAGAAAAGGGAACCCUCCUGUACUUUUGUUGAGAAUGUAAAUUGAUGCAGCCACCAUGGAAAACAGUAUGGAGAUUCCUCAAAAAAUUAAAAAUAGAAGUACCAGCAGUUCCACUUCUGGAAUUUUAAAUAAAUGGAAUCAGGAGGAGCUUCAAGAUGGCAGAAGAGUAAGACAUGGAGAUCACCUUACUCCCCACAAAUACAUCAGAAAUACAUCUACAUGUGUAACAACUCCUACAGAACACCUACUGAAUGCUGG
Non-coding RNA from Globicephala melas (long-finned pilot whale), 1181 nucleotides. The record is from RefSeq and is a predicted model, not a curated record. NCBI's taxonomy places the organism in Eukaryota, Metazoa, Chordata, Mammalia, Artiodactyla, Delphinidae.